This 520-nucleotide unclassified non-coding RNA is filed under the name uncultured Glomus. RNAcentral describes it as "SSU rRNA". It matches the Rfam family "Eukaryotic small subunit ribosomal RNA", at positions 569 to 1092 of the family's 1831-position model. The record is from RNAcentral. Lineage: Eukaryota; Fungi; Glomeromycota; Glomeromycetes; Glomerales; Glomeraceae.
AGCAGCCGCGGUAAUUCCAGCUCCAAUAGCGUAUAUUAAAGUUGUUGCAGUUAAAAAGCUCGUAGUUGAAUUUCGGGAUCAAUAUGUUGGUCGUGCCUCGGUACGUACUAGCUUAUUGGUUUCUCCCUUCUGAAGAACCAUGAUGUCAUUUAUUUGGUGUCGUGGGGAAUCAGGACUGUUACUUUGAAAAAAUUAGAGUGUUUAAAGCAGGCUCACGCUUGAAUACAUUAGCAUGGAAUAAUGAAAUAGGACGUUUGAUUCUAUUUUGCUGGUUUUUAGGAUCGACGUAAUGAUUAAUAGGGAUAGUUGGGGGCAUUAGUAUUCAAUUGUCAGAGGUGAAAUUCUUGGAUUUAUUGAAGACUAACUACUGCGAAAGCAUUUGCCAAGGAUGUUUUCAUUAAUCAAGAACGAAAGUUAGGGGAUCGAAGACGAUCAGAUACCGUCGUAGUCUUAACCAUAAACUAUGCCGACUAGGGAUCGGAUGAUGUUAAUUUUUUAAUGACUCAUUCGGCGCCUUACG